AGAGUUUGAUCCUGGCUCAGGAUGAACGCUGGCGGCGUGCUUAACACAUGCAAGUCGAACGGGAAACAUUUUAUUGAAGCUUCGGCAGAUUUAGUUUGUUUCUAGUGGCGGACGGGUGAGUAACGCGUGGGUAACCUGCCUCACACUGGGGGAUAACAGUCAGAAAUGACUGCUAAUACCGCAUAAGCGCACGGGAUUGCAUGAUCCAGUGUGAAAAACUCCGGUGGUGUGAGAUGGACCCGCGUUGGAUUAGCCAGUUGGCAGGGUAACGGCCUACCAAAGCGACGAUCCAUAGCCGGCCUGAGAGGGUGAACGGCCACAUUGGGACUGAGACACGGCCCAGACUCCUACGGGAGGCAGCAGUGGGGAAUAUUGCACAAUGGGGGAAACCCUGAUGCAGCGACGCCGCGUGAAGGAAGAAGUAUCUCGGUAUGUAAACUUCUAUCAGCAGGGAAGAAAAUGACGGUACCUGACUAAGAAGCCCCGGCUAACUACGUGCCAGCAGCCGCGGU
This 512-nucleotide ribosomal RNA is filed under the name uncultured human intestinal bacterium. RNAcentral describes it as "bacterial SSU rRNA". It matches the Rfam family "Bacterial small subunit ribosomal RNA", at positions 8 to 521 of the family's 1533-position model. The record is from RNAcentral.